AGCUAGAGCUCGUCUCGUUGAUGUCGCCCAAUUCGCCUCAUCGCUUGUUUACAGGAACGGAACUGAAUCGUAAACGGAGAAACCCCUGUGAGGGGCACGUGUCUGGACCUAACGCUGGAUUCCCAAUGUUGACUGUGGCCAAGAGUCUCUUCCUUUCCUGACCUCGUGACCGGAGUGCGAUAAGCGUGGCCGACCGUGCGUCACUUGACAGCUCGGUCUGUCGCGCUCGCGCUCGCUCUCGCUCUCUGUGUAGCCUCUGCAACGGGAUCUGACGGUCUCAAGUUACAGCUGUGCAAAAAUAGUUUGUGUUGAGCUGAGAAUGUACGUCGGCCAUGUGUGCUUGAUCCAAAUGUAAAGAUGAAUUUCUUUCUUUUGGGCGGAGAAGAUGUUUUACUCUAUUUUAUUGGAAUAAAAUGGAUGUUACUCAAAUGAG
Molecule: long non-coding RNA, 433 nt
Organism: Phycodurus eques (leafy seadragon)
Lineage: Eukaryota; Metazoa; Chordata; Actinopteri; Syngnathiformes; Syngnathidae
Exons: 3
Source: RefSeq, a predicted model, not a curated record